Molecule: ribosomal RNA, 253 nt
Filed under: uncultured prokaryote
Description: partial 16S ribosomal RNA
Rfam family: Bacterial small subunit ribosomal RNA
Source: RNAcentral
UACAGAGGUCCCAAGCGUUGUUCGGAUUCAUUGGGCGUAAAGGGCGCGUAGGCGGUAUGGUAAGUCAGAUGUGAAAUCCCGUAGCUUAACUACGGAACUGCAUUUGAUACUGCCGUGCUAGAAGGUUGGAGGGGAGACUGGAAUUUGCGGUGUAGCAGUGAAAUGCGUAGAUAUCGCAAGGAACACCUGUGGCGAAGGCGGGUCUCUGGACAACACUUGACGCUGAGGCGCGAAAGCUAGGGGAGCAAACGGG